AUUCCAGCUCCAAUAGCGUAUAUUAAAGUUGUUGCAGUUAAAACGCUCGUAGUCGGAUUUCGGGGCGGGCCGACCGGUCUGCCGAUGGGUAUGCACUGGCCGGCGCGUCCUUCCACCCGGAGACCGCGCCUACUCUUAACUGAGCGGGCGCGGGAGACGGGUCUUUUACUUUGAAAAAAUCAGAGUGUUUCAAGCAGGCAGUCGCUCUUGCAUGGAUUAGCAUGGGAUAAUGAAAUAGGACUCUGGUGCCAUUUUGUUGGUUUGCACACCAAGGUAAUGAUUAAUAGGGAUAGUUGGGGGUAUUCGCAUUUAAUUGUCAGAGGUGAAAUUCUUGGAUUUAUGAAAGACGAACUUCUGCGAAAGCAUUUACCAAAGAUGUUUUCAUCA
This 387-nucleotide ribosomal RNA is filed under the name Gephyrocapsa sp. RNAcentral describes it as "partial small subunit ribosomal RNA". It matches the Rfam family "Eukaryotic small subunit ribosomal RNA", at positions 582 to 975 of the family's 1831-position model. The record is from RNAcentral. Lineage: Eukaryota; Haptophyta; Isochrysidales; Noelaerhabdaceae.